This is a long non-coding RNA of Helianthus annuus (common sunflower), 623 nucleotides long. RefSeq lists it as uncharacterized. The transcript has 2 exons. Lineage: Eukaryota; Viridiplantae; Streptophyta; Magnoliopsida; Asterales; Asteraceae. The record is from RefSeq and is a predicted model, not a curated record.
AACACCCAGUUUCUUCACAAUUCCCAAACAUCAACUUUACUUUCUUCCAAAUGCUUCAAUGGUGGACUUGAAUAACCAGAGGCCGAUGAUGUUCAACAUAUUUUGAUGAUGUUCACCACCGUUCACCAAAUCAUGUUGGUCAUCAACCGCCGCCGCCGCCGCCUCUUCCGCCCAUCAACCCCACGCUCCUCCCUCUACGUCGGAGACCUCCACCCUCACGCCCUAGACGACGAUCUCCAUCAGCUUUUCUCCAUGAUCGGAUCCGUGAUUUCAGUUCGUGUUUACACGGACCGACCCUAGCACAAAUCGCCAGGCUACGAUUAUUAUUUGAUUUCAGUUUCUUGAUUAGGUGGAAUUGGAGUGGUGUUUAGGGAGGUGUGUAGUGUGAAGAAUGGCAGGGAGUUCGAGUGAGGAAUCCGAGCAGCAGCGUUCCGGGGAGGCAAGCGAUGACUCAGAUUGUGUAUUGGUCGUUCCAAUUUUCCGGCAAGGUUCCGACAUCUCAGGCGAGCGGUGAUGGUGGCAGGUGGAGUUCUUGAAUUCCUGAUAUAUGCAGAGAGUUUAUAUAUUUUUUAUUUUUAAGUUCUGUACAAAAUAGUCCCUGAAUAAAAAAGUUCUUUACAAAA